UAUACCCGCUAUAAGGCUCCUCAGGUUGGAAGUGGCGGUUGUUGUGCACUGUGCGAGGUAAAUGUAAGCUAGGGUGUUAAUUAAAACUGGAAGCCAUAUUACAAAAACGUAAACUUAACAGUUAAGUUACUUCUAAUUUGUGACGUUAGCUUUACAGGUGUCCAUGCAACAGCUACUGGGCAUCUUUACAGUUAAAUUGACAACAAAAGAUGCGAGAGGUCUCCAUAGUAACCUUUGUUACCCCAAAAACCCAGCGCUCAUCGGAGCGCCGAACGAUUGUCUCACAUUUUCCUCAAGCAUCCUCUGAUAUAUGAUAGAAUUCAUGAUUGAUUUCCUGAGCUGCCCAUGUUCUACUGCAGCAAAGCAUCCCCGAAUUAUCACGCUUCCAGCUCUAUCCAUCAAGGGGCAAGCAUACCCAUCAGAGGCUGUCAUGAGUCCCUACCAAGCUACAGCCCUGCUCAUUGAUUUGGUGCGGGCAGCAUCAUCUCGGGUUCACUCACAGCAGCAGGCGUGUCUGAAUGUCCG
This is a long non-coding RNA of Girardinichthys multiradiatus, 525 nucleotides long. RefSeq lists it as uncharacterized. Lineage: Eukaryota; Metazoa; Chordata; Actinopteri; Cyprinodontiformes; Goodeidae. The transcript is spliced from 3 exons. The record is from RefSeq and is a predicted model, not a curated record.